GUUCUUACUUCAGUAGCUCAUAUACUAAAAUUAGAACAUUGCAGAAAAGAUUAGCGUGUCCCCUACGCACAGAUGACACAAAAAUUCAUGAAUUGUGCCAUAUUUUU
Molecule: small nuclear RNA, 107 nt
Organism: Phascolarctos cinereus (koala)
Lineage: Eukaryota; Metazoa; Chordata; Mammalia; Diprotodontia; Phascolarctidae
Source: Ensembl